UACGUAGGGGGCAAGCGUUGUCCGGAAUUAUUGGGCGUAAAGAGCGUGUAGGCGGUUCGAUAAGUCUGCUGUAAAAGUCAGGGGCUCAACCCUUGAAGGCCGGUGGAUACUGUCGAACUAGAGUACGGAAGAGGCGAGUGGAAUUCCUGGUGUAGCGGUGAAAUGCGCAGAUAUCAGGAGGAACACCGGUGGCGAAGGCGGAUCUCUGGGCCUUACCUGACGCUCAGGCACGAAAGCUAGGGGAGCGAACAGG
Molecule: ribosomal RNA, 253 nt
Filed under: uncultured bacterium
Lineage: Bacteria
Description: partial 16S ribosomal RNA
Rfam family: Bacterial small subunit ribosomal RNA
Source: RNAcentral